RNAcentral lists this ribosomal RNA (440 nucleotides) under uncultured bacterium. Its description in RNAcentral is "bacterial SSU rRNA". It matches the Rfam family "Bacterial small subunit ribosomal RNA", at positions 338 to 795 of the family's 1533-position model. The record is from RNAcentral.
CCUANGGGGGUCAGCAGUGAGGAAUAUUGCACAAUGGAGGAAACUCUGAUGCAGCAACGCCGCGUGGAGGAUGACGCAUUUCGGUGUGUAAACUCCUUUUAUUAGGGAAGAUAAUGACGGUACCUAAUGAAUAAGCACCGGCUAACUCCGUGCCAGCAGCCGCGGUAAUACGGAGGGUGCAAGCGUUACUCGGAAUCACUGGGCGUAAAGGGUGCGUAGGCUGGCUUCUAAGUCAGAUGUGAAAUCCAAUGGCUCAACCAUUGAACUGCAUUUGAAACUGGGAGCCUAGAGUUCAGAAGGGGCAGAUGGAAUUAGUGGUGUAGGGGUAAAAUCCGUAGAUAUCACUAGGAAUAUCAAAAGCGAAGGCGAUCUGCUGGGAUGAUACUGACGCUGAGGCACGAAAGCGUGGGGAGCAAACAGGAUUAGAUACCCCANUANUC